AAGUCGUAACAAGGUUUCCGUAGGUGAACCUGCGGAAGGAUCAUUACAAAGGGUCAUAGUCGAACCAAUCUCGGGGAAAGAGUAAGGUCCCUCCCAAGUAUCCCACCCGUGUCUAUAUACUCUUGUUGCUUUGGCGGGGCGUGGCCUCCACUGCGGGCUCUGCUCGUACGUACCCGCCAGAGGACCAAACUCUGAAUGUUAGUGAUGUCUGAGUACUAUAUAAUAGUUUAAAAA
This 234-nucleotide unclassified non-coding RNA is filed under the name plant metagenome. RNAcentral describes it as "partial contains small subunit ribosomal RNA and internal transcribed spacer 1". The stretch from base 1 to 46 matches the Rfam family "Eukaryotic small subunit ribosomal RNA", at positions 1786 to 1831 of the family's 1831-position model. The record is from RNAcentral.